Molecule: ribosomal RNA, 428 nt
Filed under: uncultured bacterium
Lineage: Bacteria
Description: bacterial SSU rRNA
Rfam family: Bacterial small subunit ribosomal RNA
Source: RNAcentral
UGGGGAAUCUUCCGCAAUGGACGAAAGUCUGACGGAGCAACGCCGCGUGUAUGAUGAAGGUCUUCGGAUUGUAAAGUACUGUCAUUGGGGAAGAACGGUUUUCUUGAAAAGAUUGAGAAGACAUGACGGUACCCAAGGAGGAAGCCCCGGCUAACUACGUGCCAGCAGCCGCGGUAAUACGUAGGGUGCGAGCGUUAAUCGGAAUUACUGGGCGUAAAGCGUGCGCAGGCGGUUUUGUAAGACAGAUGUGAAAUCCCCGGGCUUAACCUGGGAACUGCGUUUGUGACUGCAAGGCUGGAGUACGGCAGAGGGGGGUGGAAUUCCACGUGUAGCAGUGAAAUGCGUAGAGAUGUGGAGGAACACCGAUGGCGAAGGCAGCCCCCUGGGCCUGUACUGACGCUCAUGCACGAAAACGUGGGGAGCAAACA